Molecule: non-coding RNA, 75 nt
Organism: Pangasianodon gigas (Mekong giant catfish)
Lineage: Eukaryota; Metazoa; Chordata; Actinopteri; Siluriformes; Pangasiidae
Source: the annotation of a GenBank genome assembly
GGCAGUGGUAGCUCAGUGGUUAAGACAUUGGACUUCUGCUCGAAAGGUUGAGAGUUCAAAAUCUCAGCAUUACCA